CCCUUAGAUGUUCUGGGCCGCACGCGUGUUACACUGAGUAAUUCAAUGGGUAAGGGAACGCUAGAGCAUUACCUAAUCUUGAAAUUUGCUCGUGAUGGGGAUCGACGGUUGCAAUUUUCCGUCGUGAACGAGGAAUACCUUGUAGGCGCAUGUCAUCAUCAUGCGCCGAAUACGUCCCUGCCCUUUGUACACACCGCCCGUCGCUCCUACCGAUUGAGUGAUCCGGUGAGGCUCUGGGACCUGGACGGAAAGAGCGUUUCGCUUGUUCUGUUUGGGAAACUUGGUCGAACCUUAUCAUUUAGAGGAAGGAGAAGUCGUAACA
Molecule: ribosomal RNA, 322 nt
Filed under: uncultured eukaryote
Lineage: Eukaryota
Description: partial 18S ribosomal RNA
Rfam family: Eukaryotic small subunit ribosomal RNA
Source: RNAcentral